GUUAGGAAUAUUGGACAAUGGGCGCAAGCCUGAUCCAGCCAUGCCGCGUGAGUGAUGAAGGCCUUCGGGUUGUAAAGCUCUUUAGCCGAUGAUUAUAAUGACUGUAGUCGGAAAAUAAGCCCCGGCUAACUUCGUGCCAGCAGCCGCGGUAAUACGAAGGGGGCGAGCGUUAUUCGGAAUCACUGGGCGUAAAGCGUGCGUAGGCGGCUUUGCAAGUUGGGAGUGAAAGCCCAGGGCUCAACCCUGGAAUUGCUCUCAAAACUGCAAGGCUCGAAUUCGGGAGAGGAUAGCGGAAUUGUCAGUGUAGCAGUGAAAUGCGUAGAUAUUGACAGGAACACCAGUGGCGUAAGCGGCUAUCUGGACCGAUAUUGACGCUGAGGCACGAAAGCGUGGGGAUCAAACAGGAUUAGAAUCCCGGGUAGUCC
RNAcentral lists this ribosomal RNA (425 nucleotides) under uncultured bacterium. RNAcentral's name for it is "partial 16S ribosomal RNA". It matches the Rfam family "Bacterial small subunit ribosomal RNA", at positions 354 to 796 of the family's 1533-position model. The record is from RNAcentral.